AAAGAACCCCGGCGAGGGGAGUGAAAAAGAACCUGAAACCGUGUACGUACAAGCAGUGGGAGCCUCUUUAUGGGGUGACUGCGUACCUUUUGUAUAAUGGGUCAGCGACUUAUAUUCUGUAGCAAGGUUAACCGAAUAGGGGAGCCGAAGGGAAACCGAGUCUUAACUGGGCGUUAAGUUGCAGGGUAUAGACCCGAAACCCGGUGAUCUAGCCAUGGGCAGGUUGAAGGUUGGGUAACACUAACUGGAGGACCGAACCGACUAAUGUUGAAAAAUUAGCGGAUGACUUGUGGCUGGGGGUGAAAGGCCAAUCAAACCGGGAGAUAGCUGGUUCUCCCCGAAAGCUAUUUAGGUAGCGCCUCGUGAAUUCAUCUCCGGGGGUAGAGCACUGUUUCGGCAAGGGGGUCAUCCCGACUUACCAACCCGAUGCAAACUGCGAAUACCGGAGAAUGUUAUCACGGGAGACACACGGCGGGUGCUAACGUCCGUCGUGAAGAGGGAAACAACCCAGACCGCCAGCUAAGGUCCCAAAGUCAUGGUUAAGUGGGAAACGAUGUGGGAAGGCCCAGACAGCCAGGAUGUUGGCUUAGAAGCAGCCAUCAUUUAAAGAAAGCGUAAUAGCUCACUGGUCGAGUCGGCCUGCGCGGAAGAUGUAACGGGGCUAAACCAUGCACCGAAGCUGCGGCAGCGACACUAUGUGUUGUUGGGUAGGGGAGCGUUCUGUAAGCCUGUGAAGGUGUGCUGUGAGGCAUGCUGGAGGUAUCAGAAGUGCGAAUGCUGACAUAAGUAACGAUAAAGCGGGUGAAAAGCCCGCUCGCCGGAAGACCAAGGGUUCCUGUCCAACGUUAAUCGGGGCAGGGUGAGUCGACCCCUAAGGCGAGGCCGAAAGGCGUAGUCGAUGGGAAACAGGUUAAUAUUCCUGUACUUGGUGUUACUGCGAAGGGGGGACGGAGAAGGCUAUGUUGGCCGGGCGACGGUUGUCCCGGUUUAAGCGUGUAGGCUGGUUUUCCAGGCAAAUCCGGAAAAUCAAGGCUGAGGCGUGAUGACGAGGCACUACGGUGCUGAAGCAACAAAUGCCCUGCUUCCAGGAAAAGCCUCUAAGCAUCAGGUAACAUCAAAUCGUACCCCAAACCGACACAGGUGGUCAGGUAGAGAAUACCAAGGCGCUUGAGAGAACUCGGGUGAAGGAACUAGGCAAAAUGGUGCCGUAACUUCGGGAGAAGGCACGCUGAUAUGUAGGUGAAGUCCCUCGCGGAUGGAGCUGAAAUCAGUCGAAGAUACCAGCUGGCUGCAACUGUUUAUUAAAAACACAGCACUGUGCAAACACGAAAGUGGACGUAUACGGUGUGACGCCUGCCCGGUGCCGGAAGGUUAAUUGAUGGGGUCAGCGCAAGCGAAGCUCUUGAUCGAAGCCCCGGUAAACGGCGGCCGUAACUAUAACGGUCCUAAGGUAGCGAAAUUCCUUGUCGGGUAAGUUCCGACCUGCACGAAUGGCGUAAUGAUGGCCAGGCUGUCUCCACCCGAGACUCAGUGAAAUUGAACUCGCUGUGAAGAUGCAGUGUACCCGCGGCAAGACGGAAAGACCCCGUGAACCUUUACUAUAGCUUGACACUGAACAUUGAGCCUUGAUGUGUAGGAUAGGUGGGAGGCUUGGAAGUGUGGACGCCAGUCUGCAUGGAGCCGACCUUGAAAUACCACCCUUUAAUGUUUGAUGUUCUAACGUUGACCCGUAAUCCGGGUUGCGGACAGUGUCUGGUGGGUAGUUUGACUGGGGCGGUCUCCUCCUAAAGAGUAACGGAGGAGCACGAAGGUUGGCUAAUCCUGGUCGGACAUCAGGAGGUUAGUGCAAUGGCAUAAGCCAGCUUGACUGCGAGCGUGACGGCGCGAGCAGGUGCGAAAGCAGGUCAUAGUGAUCCGGUGGUUCUGAAUGGAAGGGCCAUCGCUCAACGGAUAAAAGGUACUCCGGGGAUAACAGGCUGAUACCGCCCAAGAGUUCAUAUCGACGGCGGUGUUUGGCACCUCGAUGUCGGCUCAUCACAUCCUGGGGCUGAAGUAGGUCCCAAGGGUAUGGCUGUUCGCCAUUUAAAGUGGUACGCGAGCUGGGUUUAGAACGUCGUGAGACAGUUCGGUCCCUAUCUGCCGUGGGCGCUGGAGAACUGAGGGGGGCUGCUCCUAGUACGAGAGGACCGGAGUGGACGCAUCACUGGUGUUCGGGUUGUCAUGCCAAUGGCACUGCCCGGUAGCUAAAUGCGGAAGAGAUAAGUGCUGAAAGCAUCUAAGCACGAAACUUGCCCCGAGAUGAGUUCUCCCUGACUCCUUGAGAGUCCUGAAGGAACGUUGAAGACGACGACGUUGAUAGGCCGGGUGUGUAAGCGCAGCGAUGCGUUGAGCUAACCGGUACUAAUGAACCGUGAGG
RNAcentral lists this ribosomal RNA (2416 nucleotides) under Escherichia coli. Its description in RNAcentral is "partial 23S ribosomal RNA". It matches the Rfam family "Bacterial large subunit ribosomal RNA", at positions 518 to 2915 of the family's 2925-position model. Lineage: Bacteria; Pseudomonadati; Pseudomonadota; Gammaproteobacteria; Enterobacterales; Enterobacteriaceae. The record is from RNAcentral.